AUUGAACGCUGGCGGCAUGCCUUACACAUGCAAGUCGAACGGUAACGGGUCCUUCGGGAUGCCGACGAGUGGCGAACGGGUGAGUAAUAUAUCAGAACGUGCCCAGUAGUGGGGGAUAACUGCUCGAAAGAGCAGCUAAUACCGCAUACGACCUGAGGGUGAAAGGGGGGGAUCGCAAGACCUCUCGCUAUUGGAGCGGCCGAGAUCAGAUUAGCUAGUUGGUGGGGUAAAGGCCUACCAAGGCAACGAUCUGUAGUUGGUCUGAGAGGACGACCAGCCACACUGGGACUGAGACACGGCCCAGACUCCUACGGGAGGCAGCAGUGGGGAAUUUUGGACAAUGGGCGCAAGCCUGAUCCAGCAAUGCCGCGUGCAGGAAGAAGGCCUUCGGGUUGUAAACUGCUUUUGUCAGGGAAGAAAUCUUCUGGGCUAAUACCCCGGGAGGAUGACGGUACCUGAAGGAUAAGCACCGGCUAACUACGUGCCAGCAGCCGCCGUAA
This 500-nucleotide ribosomal RNA is filed under the name uncultured bacterium. Its description in RNAcentral is "partial 16S ribosomal RNA". It matches the Rfam family "Bacterial small subunit ribosomal RNA", at positions 30 to 523 of the family's 1533-position model. The record is from RNAcentral.